Molecule: non-coding RNA, 1742 nt
Organism: Oncorhynchus mykiss (rainbow trout)
Lineage: Eukaryota; Metazoa; Chordata; Actinopteri; Salmoniformes; Salmonidae
Source: RefSeq, a predicted model, not a curated record
UGUCCGAAAUCGCACAAUCAUGUCCGACAUCGCUCUUCCACCACCGCCUGAUGAGGACGAACAACCUUGGCUGUAUCUAAAAUAAAUGUUGUUUUAUUUCCUCUGGAUGAAGGAUUCAUCCUACCGGAUGGAAUGUGUGUUAUGUUUACCAAAGUUCAGGAAAUACUAGCGUUCAAGAACUCGCCGUCGAACCUACAAGAGAAAGCAUGUACACCAUCUGAAGAAGAUCUUAUCAAGGCCCACACUGCGCUCCAGGAUUGAUGAAGCCUCCAAGGAAAUGAAGAAGGUGACUCCAUGAGAGGAGUUGACCACAUCGCCACCACCACCGACUGCUGGUCUGCAAGAAGACGGAGCUUCAUUGGUGUUGCAGCCCACUGUAACACCAACAGUCUCAACAAAUGCUCAGCAGCCCUGGCCUGUAAACGGUUGAGAAGAUCGCACACCUUUGAUGUGUUAGCAGGUGCCCUAAAUGACACCCAUUUGGAGUUUGAAAUCCGGAUUAAGAUUGUGAGAACCACAGACAAUGGCUCUAACUUCUUGAAAGCUUUCCAUGUUUUUGAAGCAGCUCAGCCAGUACAGGAAGUUUGUGAAGUUUGUGGAGUUUGUUGACGUGGCAACGAUCCUGAAUGAAGAUGAUGGUUUUGAGUACCAGCUGCCUGCCGCCUACUCAACUUAGUAUCUACAGUCGAUGCCCUGAAAGCAACAUUCAGUGAGGCUUACAAAAAAGGGUCCCGUUCAACAUUUGGCAAGUGCCAAAGACUUUGGAACAAAUGCAGAAGAUCCACACUUGCAGCCGAAACGGUUGAAGAUGCCUGUUACCUCCAGCUGCUGCCCCCGAAUGCUACAAGGUGGAACUCCUGGUUCAUGGCUGUAGAAAGACUCCUGAGGAUCAUCAAAGACAGAGGAGUGGCAGUCGUCAGAGUUAUCCGCACAGACUUCGAGGUUCCAAUGUUCAAUCCAGCAGAACCCGCCUUCCUCACAGAGUAUGCUGCCACCAUGAGCCCAGUCGCAAAGGCCAUCAAUAUCCUGCAGGCUGAAACCAGAUGGGGUGGCUACUUCCAACCUCCUGAUCACAAAACUUGACCGAAUCAAGUUGUCCCUGAAGUACUGUAAACCUCUGGUGGAUGUGCUACAACUGGGACUGAAGAAGCACUUCAGCCACGUGUCACGAUCCUGAGCUGAUGGCAGCUGCAAUCCUUCUCCCCAAAUUCAAAACAACGUGGACAAAGGAUGACGCCACCAUCAAAAUGGGAAUGGACUACAUCAAGGACCACCUGGAAGAACCCUUGCAGCAGCUAGGCGAUGGCACCAGUUCAUCAGAUGAGGAGGACUUCUUCUCUGCCAUGAAAACGUCUCAAGCACAAGAAAGCUCCAAACAGCUGUACGGACGCCUGGCCUGUUCAGCUGAUCAUAUGGAGUUGCUCAAGUCCUUCCCGGCAGUCUGUAAGCCGCCUCUGAGGUUAAACACACCCUUACCUGCAUCAGUAGCCUGUGAAAGGCUGUUCAGGAUUGCAGGAUUUGUUUACAGCCCCAGGAGAGCAAGGCUGGACUCCAGAAACUUUGAAAACCAGCUUUUUACUGAAGAUGAACCGUAAAUUCAACUUCAAGUAAUGACAGCUUAACGCUAGCAAGCCCAAGGACACGGAUGGCUUAUGCAUUUUGUUAAUUUAUGUUUAAAAUUCACAAGUUAUAGGUGUCCUUGUUACAAAGGACUGACACACUGAUUUCUAAUACUGUCCCAU